Molecule: ribosomal RNA, 253 nt
Filed under: uncultured bacterium
Lineage: Bacteria
Description: partial 16S ribosomal RNA
Rfam family: Bacterial small subunit ribosomal RNA
Source: RNAcentral
UACGUAGGGUCCGAGCGUUGUCCGGAAUUACUGGGCGUAAAGCGCGCGCAGGCGGCCCGCGAGGUGUCACGUGAAAGCCCCGGGCUCAACCCGGGAGGGUCGUGGCAAACCGGCGGGCUUGAGGCCGGUAGAGGUGGGUGGAACUCCUGGUGGAGUGGUGAAAUGCGUAGAUAUUGGGAGGAACACCAGUGGCGAAGGCGGCUCACUGGACCGGUUCUGACGCUGAAGCGCGAAAGCGUGGGGAGCAAACGGG